This 458-nucleotide ribosomal RNA is filed under the name Granulicatella adiacens. RNAcentral's name for it is "bacterial SSU rRNA". It matches the Rfam family "Bacterial small subunit ribosomal RNA", at positions 28 to 476 of the family's 1533-position model. The record is from RNAcentral. Lineage: Bacteria; Bacillati; Bacillota; Bacilli; Lactobacillales; Carnobacteriaceae.
GACGAACGCGGCGGCGUGCCUAAUACAUGCAAGUCGAACGAGAGCGACCGGUGCUUGCACUGGUUAAUCUAGUGGCGAACGGGUGAGUAACACGUGGGUAACCUGCCCAUCAGAGGGGGAUAACAUUCGGAAACGGAUGCUAAAACCGCAUAGGUCCUUUAACCGCAUGGUUGAAGGAGGAAAAGAGGCGCAAGCUUCUGCUGAUGGAUGGACCCGCGGUGCAUUAGCUAGUUGGUGAGGUAACGGCUCACCAAGGCCGUGAUGCAUAGCCGACCUGAGAGGGUGAUCGGCCACAUUGGGACUGAGACACGGCCCAAACUCCUACGGGAGGCAGCAGUAGGGAAUCUUCCGCAAUGGACGCAAGUCUGACGGAGCAACGCCGCGUGAGUGAAGAAGGUUUUCGGAUCGUAAAACUCUGUUGUUAGAGAAGAACAAGUGCUAGAGUAACUGUUAGCGCC